UCUCCGUUAACCGAAGCGGUCUCCUUAAAGUUCCCCUUGCGGGGCAAUUAAGGACAGGGGUUGCGCUCGUUGCGGGACUUAACCCAACAUCUCACGACACGAGCUGACGACAGCCGUGCAACACCUGUGUACCUGUCCCGAAGGAGGUCCCUACUUUCAUAGGGAUUACAAGUACAUGUCAAGCCCUGGUAAGGUUCUACGCGUUGCGUCGUAUUAAACCACAUGCUCCACCGCUUGUGCGGGCCCCCGUCAAUUUCUUUGAGUUUUAACCUUGCGGCCGUACUCCCCAGGCGGAGAACUUAAUGCGUUAGCUUCGGCACACGAGGGGUCGAUACCUCGUACACCCAGUUCUCAUCGUUUACAGCGUGGACUAC
This 374-nucleotide unclassified non-coding RNA is filed under the name uncultured bacterium. RNAcentral's name for it is "contains 16S-23S intergenic spacer region". The record is from RNAcentral.